RNAcentral lists this ribosomal RNA (482 nucleotides) under uncultured bacterium. RNAcentral's name for it is "partial 16S ribosomal RNA". It matches the Rfam family "Bacterial small subunit ribosomal RNA", at positions 30 to 507 of the family's 1533-position model. The record is from RNAcentral.
AUUGAACGCUGGCGGCAUGCCUUACACAUGCAAGUCGAACGGUAACGGGCCUUCGGGUGCCGACGAGUGGCGAACGGGGGAGUAAUACAUCGGAACGUUCCCGAUCGUGGGGGAUAACGAGGCGAAAGCUUUGCUAAUACCGCAUACGAUCUACGGAUGAAAGCAGGGGACCGCAAGGCCUUGCGCGGACGGAGCGGCCGAUGGCGGAUUAGGUAGUUGGUGGGAUAAAAGCUUACCAAGCCGACGAUCUGUAGCUGGUCUGAGAGGAUGAUCAGCCACACUGGGACUGAGACACGGCCCAGACUCCUACGGGAGGCAGCAGUGGGGAAUUUUGGACAAUGGGCGCAAGCCUGAUCCAGCCAUGCCGCGUGCAGGAUGAAGGCCUUCGGGUUGUAAACUGCUUUUGUACGGAACGAAAAGCCUUCUUUUAAUACAGGAGGGUCAUGACGGUACCGUAAGAAUAAGCACCGGCUAACUACGUG